UUUUGCUAAUGUUUUGGUAAGUUAGUCAUCAGUGUGGUGCUCGCAGAAUAGGCUGGUAAAUAAAUCAUGGGAAGAAAAAAGAAGAAGCAGAUGAAGCCCUGGUGUUGGUACUGUAACAGGGAUUUUGAUGAUGAAAAGAUUCUCAUUCAGCAUCAGAAGGCCAAACACUUUAAGUGUCACAUAUGUCACAAGAAGUUAUACACUGGUCCUGGUCUGGCCAUCCACUGUAUGCAGGUUCACAAAGAAACCAUUGAUGGUGUCCCUAAUGCAAUACCGGGAAGGACUGACAUAGAGCUGGAGAUCUAUGGAAUGGAGGGUAUUCCAGAGAAAGACGUGGAGGAGAGGAGACGUGUGCUUGAACAAAAAACACAGGAAAAUCAAAAGAAAAAACAGCAAGAUGACUCGGAUGAAGAUGACUCAGAUGAAGAGGCUGGUCCCUCCUUCCAGCAGCCAGCAACAACUGUACAGCCUCAGGCAGCCUAUGCCCCUAUGACCCAACCAGGAAUGGCCCCUGUCCCAGCUCCAGGGAUGCCACCUGGAAGCUACUCAGGAAUGCCCCCAAUGAUGCCUGGUGUCCCCCCGAUGAUGCCAGGGAUGCCUCCUGUCAUGCGCGGAAUGCCUCCAGGCAUGAUGCCAAUGAGUGGGAUGAUGCCACCUACCCAUGGAAUGCCCCCAAUGAUGCCAGGCAUGCCACCAGGAUUACCUCCUCACAUGGGUCAUCACCCUGGCAUACUCCACAUGGCUCAGGCCCCUCCUACUACCACCCGGCCAGCUGUGUCUGCCACCACAGUGUCCACGCCACAGCCGAGUGUCUCCAAGCCACUGUUUCCCAGUGCAGGACAGAUGGGGACUCGAGCUCCAAGCACAAGCUCAGGCUCCUCCAGUCUGGACAAUUUGUCAGCAUCCUCUAAACCGCUGUCCCAAGUCCAGCAGGCUGGUUCUAGUCUAGCGGUGAGCUCCUCUGCACCACCUUCUGCUGCUCCCAAACCAACAUUCCCAGCUUACACCCAGUCCUCCGCCACUGCUGCGGCCAACACGAGCAGCACUGUGGCCAAACCGGGCACCCCAGUCACAAGUAAGCCUGCCACCCUCACCACCACCAGUGCAACCAGUAAGUUGAUCCACCCUGAUGAAGAUAUAUCACUGGAGGAGUUGCGAGCACAGCUGUCUCGCUACCAGUGUAAAAUCCCUAGUGCAGGACAGGCCCACGUAACUUCCCCACCAGUUGCACCAAUGGGAGGUGUGUUGCCCCCUCAGCAGGGCAUUCCUGUACAACAGCCGGGUGUUAGGCAUCCCAUGCAAGGGCCAUACGGUGCUCCGCCGCAUGGAGUGCCUGGGUACAUCCCAGGAGGAAUGCCUCCUUACGGUCAAGCCCCACCCAUGGUCCCCCCCUUCCAGGCCGCUCCCCCUCGGCCCGCCAUUGGCAUGAGACCCCCUGUAAUGUCUCCUGGAGGCCGAUAUUGAAGCGUCACUACUGGUCUUCAUUAGGUUUGGUGAUUCAACCAUUUUACCAUCUAGUGGCGUGCUUUACAAUCCAGAUCAGUAACCGUAACCCUUCUUGCAAUGAGGAGAUGGAGUAAUCAAACUAUAGCGCAUGGGACAUUUAAUUUUGUCAAGUCUAUUAUUUGGACCUACCCUUUGUUGCAGAUCAUACAGUCUGGCUUUUUUCUCAUGUUUUGUUUAGGUUUUUAGAAGUGAAGUGUAGUAAAUAUGGUUCGUAUUAAUUUGAAGCGGCUGGAGUUUCGUACAGCACCUUUAUCAAGGCAAGUCACUGUAAAUAUACUACUGUACUAAAAGUGUGAAGCCUUCGCAGCACCCAUAGGUGCUGUUGGGCGUCCUGUCCCCAGCGUUGCUUGGUGAGGGCUUCAGAUAGCUGUCACUGUUGGAUUUAUUUUUCUAUGUCUGCUUGUCUACAAUUACAGUGUUCUCUCUGUAGGGCCAAUAACAAAAGGACUCCUGUGAAUGCUAUCUGUACUGUUCCACUAUGAAUUGUAAUAAACUAUUGAAAUCUAACGGCUGUUUUUUCAUUAGCAAGUAAAGGACAACCUCACAAGCUAUGCCAUGGGACUGGCUGAGGCAGAGUCUCAGUGUUGCCCUGCACAGGCUGAGGCAAGUCUCAUAUUUUCUCUCUUUACUCUGUGUAUUCAGGGUAGAGGUCUUCACGGGUCCACUUGGAUCCGGAAAACCCGAGCGGGUUCGGGUCCAAAACUCAAAGUACCUCGGACACGGGUCGGGUUCGGUAUUAGCGGUCUCGGGGAAUUUAAAAUAAACAUGCUUUUUCCAGAUGGACCCGAUUAGACCCCAAUUCUUCUAUCCAUUCUAUCCCGAAUGCGUAGGCUACUUUCACUUUCGUGUUAAGUGAGGAACGCACAAAAAAGGAGCAUACGUUUGUAACCUCACACACAGAAAUCAUCUUAUAGAUAUGAGAUCCAUCAGGAAAAUCCACUCGCUUCAUUAUGCUGCGUGUUCAUACAGGGCUUUUCUUUUUUGUGUGCAGAAGCUUUCGCCAGAGAUCAGGUUGCAGACAACACUAGCUAUCCAUGAAUUAUUAGGCUAUCGACUUAUUUGUUUUAUCAAACUAUCACGUUUAUUUUUCAAAUCCACUGGUCACAAUUGAAAGCCGAGCUCAGAAAUAACUUGUAUCAUGCAGGCACUAAUAUAAAGUAGCCUAAUAAUAAAUUGAAUAAAUGUUAAAUAAAUCAAAGUAAUGGAGAAGCGGCCAAAGCAGUGAGCAGGACACCGGGAUUUUUCCUGAUUGACUGCGGUGGAGCUGCAGGCUGUACACACGUCAAUACCGUUUGCAUUGGGGUCCAGUCGGGUUCGAAAUUAAAUGCCGUCAGACUUGGGUCGGGUUUUUCUUAAAAAAAAAUUUGAUUUAUGCACGUCGGGUUUGGGUAAGAAGUGAUUCGGUUUGGGUACAGAUUUUAGGACCCGAGAAGACCUCUAAUUCAGGGGGCCUCAGCCAUUUGGAGCAAGUUUGGUGAUGGCCCCCGGGUUUAUUAAUAUCUCUUAACUAACUCAUAGUUUUAGCUAACAUGUUAAAAAUACACACACGCUUCAAAAGUUUGAGGUCAGUAAGAUUUGUAAUGUUUAUUCAGCAAAG
Sinocyclocheilus grahami is the source of this 3103-nucleotide RNA transcript. It is a transcript of the gene named BUB3-interacting and GLEBS motif-containing protein ZNF207-like, with no coding region annotated. The record is from RefSeq and is a predicted model, not a curated record. The transcript has 12 exons. Lineage: Eukaryota; Metazoa; Chordata; Actinopteri; Cypriniformes; Cyprinidae.